UACAUAUAUCUCUACAUAUGAAAGUGAUAUACAAUAACUUCAUGAACCAAUGUCUUGACGUCUUCAAUUCAUACUUGCAAUCGGAACCGUAGAAAUUGCCUAACAAAACAAAACAAAACGUUAAAUUAAUAAAAUGAAAGUUAAAAUGCAAUCUUUAAAUUCAAAUGUUAAAAAAUUAUCAUACAUGCAUACACAUAAGACAUGUAGUUCCAAAUCUACCCUACGUAUGCACAUAAGACAUGAAGAUUCAAAUCCAUGACCUACAAGUCCAACAAUACUACAAUCGACCAAUAUAUCUAUCAAAUCACAAAUCAUAAAUAUGGGGAUUGUAGGCUAUGGCCUCAAUUAUGUUAUUAUGUUGCAAUUCCUAAUUAAAAAAAAACACCAUUUUACUCUUUCCACUGUCACAUUCUUAGCAAAGCACCAUACAGAAUGAUCACAAUAUGAUAAAAUAAUUGCACCUAAAGUUAUGUGCAAGAACGACUACAAUAUGAUAAAAUGGUUAAUAAUUUAAAUGUAUGAUUAUGUUGGAACAAACCUAAGUUAUUUUAGGCUUCUGCAUAAGUAGGAUUCACCACAAUCUCUAUCUUUAUCAUGCUAGCAGCAACAUCCAUUUUGCCCUAUAUAUUAAUCUACAAUUCUAAAAGCGAUAAGGACUCCAACGUUGUUCAACAAUUGUGAGACACUUGGAUUAUUUGACGAAGC
This 705-nucleotide long non-coding RNA is filed under the name Helianthus annuus (common sunflower). RNAcentral describes it as "sRNA HanXRQr2_Chr10g0428821". The record is from RNAcentral. Lineage: Eukaryota; Viridiplantae; Streptophyta; Magnoliopsida; Asterales; Asteraceae.